Molecule: non-coding RNA, 78 nt
Organism: Schistosoma mattheei
Lineage: Eukaryota; Metazoa; Platyhelminthes; Trematoda; Strigeidida; Schistosomatidae
Source: Rfam
AACUUUCUAAAUCCGUGCCGUGAUUUCGUCAGAUACCAGAUAAUCAGUACUGAUGAGACUCCCAAGAUUAGUGAAAUG